This 420-nucleotide ribosomal RNA is filed under the name uncultured prokaryote. Its description in RNAcentral is "bacterial SSU rRNA". It matches the Rfam family "Bacterial small subunit ribosomal RNA", at positions 355 to 774 of the family's 1533-position model. The record is from RNAcentral.
UAAGGAAUAUUGCUCAAUGGGAGAAAUCCUGAAGCAGCAACGCCGCGUGGAGGAUGAAGGGCUUUCAGCUUGUAAACUCCUGUAAAGAAGGAAAAAAUUCCCAUUAGAUGGGAAAUGAUGGUACUUCUAAAGUAAGCCCCGGCUAACUACGUGCCAGCAGCCGCGGUACUACGUAGGGGGCCAGCGUUGUCCGGAUGUACUGGGUGUAAAGGGUGCUCAGGCGGAUUUGUAAGUCAGAGGUGAAAUCUCACAGCUUAACUGUGAAACUGCCGUGGAUACUGCAAGUCUAGAGUAUGGAAGAGAGUGAUGGAAUGUCUGGUGUAGCAGUGAAAUGCGUAGAUAUCAGAUAGAACACCAAUGGCGAAGGCAGUCACUUGGUCCAUUACUGACGCUAAAGCACGAAAGCGUGGGUAGCAAACA